RNAcentral lists this ribosomal RNA (450 nucleotides) under uncultured bacterium. RNAcentral's name for it is "partial 16S ribosomal RNA". It matches the Rfam family "Bacterial small subunit ribosomal RNA", at positions 354 to 796 of the family's 1533-position model. The record is from RNAcentral.
GUGGGGAAUUUUGGACAAUGGGCGCAAGCCUGAUCCAGCAAUGCCGCGUGCAGGAAGAAGGCCUUCGGGUUGUAAACUGCUUUUGUACGGAACGAAAAGGCUCUGGUUAAUACCUGGGGCUCAUGACGGUACCGUAAGAAUAAGCACCGGCUAACUACGUGCCAGCAGCCGCGGUAAUACGUCGGGUGCAAGCGUUAAUCGGAAUUACUGGGCGUAAAGCGUGCGCAGGCGGUUUUGUAAGACAGACGUGAAGUCCCCGGGCUCAACCUGGGAAUGGCGUUUGUGACUGCAAAGCUGGAGUGCGGCAGAGGGGGAUGGAAUUCCGCGUGUAGCAGUGAAAUGCGUAGAUAUGCGGAGGAACACCGAUGGCGAAGGCAAUCCCCUGGGCCUGCACUGACGCUCAUGCACGAAAGCGUGGGGAGCAAACAGGAUUAGAUACCCUGGUAGUCC